RNAcentral lists this transfer RNA (77 nucleotides) under Escherichia coli E22. RNAcentral's name for it is "tRNA-Arg". It matches the Rfam family "tRNA". From Rfam's summary of the family: Transfer RNA (tRNA) molecules are approximately 80 nucleotides in length. The record is from RNAcentral. Lineage: Bacteria; Pseudomonadati; Pseudomonadota; Gammaproteobacteria; Enterobacterales; Enterobacteriaceae. RNAcentral also lists the same sequence under 2 other names.
UGUCCUCUUAGUUAAAUGGAUAUAACGAGCCCCUCCUAAGGGCUAAUUGCAGGUUCGAUUCCUGCAGGGGACACCAG